CCUACGGGUGGCAGCAGUAGGGAAUAUUGCUCAAUGGGGGAAACCCUGAAGCAGCAACGCCGCGUGGAGGAUGAAGGUUUUCGGAUCGUAAACCCCUGUUGUUAGAGAAGAUAAUGACGGUAUCUAACGAAUAAGCACUGGCUAAUACCGUGCCAGCAGCCGCGGUAAUACGGAGGGUGCAAGCGUUACGCGGAAUGACUGGGCGUAAAGAGCGCGUAGGCGGGAUAGCAAGUCAGAUGUGAAAUCCUAUGGCUUAACCAUAGAACUGCAUUUGAAACUGGUAUUCUAGAGUGUGGGAGAGGUAAGUGGAAUUCUUGGUGUAGGGGUGAAAUCCGUAGAGAUCAAGAGGAAUACUCGUUGCGAAGGCGACCUGCUAGAACAUAACUGACGCUGAUGCGCGAAAGCGUGGGGAGCAAACAGGAUUAGAUACCCCAGUAGUC
This 440-nucleotide ribosomal RNA is filed under the name uncultured bacterium. RNAcentral's name for it is "partial 16S ribosomal RNA". It matches the Rfam family "Bacterial small subunit ribosomal RNA", at positions 338 to 795 of the family's 1533-position model. The record is from RNAcentral.